AAAAUUUCAUUAAGCAGAAGAAAUGUAGUAAAAUAUCUGAAAUGUGAAUCUAAUACAACUGUUUAAGACUUAAUCACCCAGAACUGGUGUCACAGUACCACCGACGAUCUAAGAGUUCUAAAUACAAAGUCUGAAAAUAAAGAUACGCUGUUUCUGAAUCAAAGAAAUGAAAUAGGAAAUCAUGGAUAGAGGAGACUCCAGGGCCUGCGGACACAUGCAGGUCUACCUUGGAUAUCCGCGUGGACUGAUGAUAGACACCCAAAUGCUAUGGUCCGAGAUCUGCUCCAGGAUCUGCACAUAGUGCAGAGUGUAGUAUCAGUAGAACCGACUCCAUGUGCUAGUAAGUGCCUAGACUAACAUCAGCGAAGUAGGACGAGGCUAGGACCAGACUACCAAAUGAACCUGUGCAGUUAUAUAAUAUACAGUGGAAAAUAAAAUAGAAAUAAAUAAGUGAAGAUGGGAUGGGGUACAUGUUGCGGGGGUGUAUCAGUAUCAACAGUAAAUCGAGAGUAACGGCAUAAGAACAACUUAGAAUUCACGGCAAAACAAUAGGAAACUUAUAUCCAAUCUAUAAACACUUUGUAUCAAUAAUUGUUGCGGCGCGCAACCCGAUCCCAAUAUAUUACAACACUGUUGCGGCGUGCAACCCAAUCCCAAUAUAUAACAACACUGUUGCGGCGUGCAACCCGAUCCAUAUCAUUCAUCACUGUUGCGGUGCGCAACCCGACCCACAUAUAUCAUUGUUGCGGCGUGCAACCCGAUCCACAUAUAUCAUUGUUGCGGCGUGCAACCCGACCCACAUAUAUCAUUGUUGCGGCAUGCAACCCGAUCCACAUAUAAUAUUGUUGCAGCGUGCAACCCGAUCCACAUAUAAUAUUUUUGCGGGCUGCAACCCGAUCCACAUAUAUAAGCAACACCAAUUAUAACAAGAGUCCAGGCAAGGGAUCAAUAAAGAACUACACUAUCCCGGCAAGGGAAUUGACAGUAUCAGUAAAUACGUCCCGAUAAGGGAGAAACAACUAUAACCUAACUUGUUCCAACAUCUAACUACCUUAGCUAACACCAAUACUCAAUCAUAAGUAAUUCUACAAGAACAAUCAUAAUCCUUGCUCAAUACAGAGAACCAUCAAUUUAAGCAUCCGUAGUAUUAUUCAAGAACACAAUAAAUCACAAUUUAAGACUCGCGCUCAUGCUCGACACCAACGUAUAGAUACUCGUCACCAUGACUAUACAUCGUAUUCAACAAGAAACAAGUAGCAAAUAGGAAACAACUCCUAAUCCCUCAAGCUAAGGUUAGACCAAACACUUAACUCGAUGCCACAAACACAAUUCACGUCUCAAUUAUCGCUUUACCCCUUGAUUCCACCACCAAUUUGCUCGUAUCUAGCCACACGUUACUUUUUUAGAUCAAUAAAUGCUAAAUGAAUCAAUUCCAAUGCAUGAACACUGUCACACCUCCUUUUUACCUACACCCCGAUAAGGGUGUAAGAGAGUUUUUUCCAAUUAAAGUGACAAUCGAAACGGGAUUUAUUUCAAUUAAAAUUCAGAGUCGCCACUUGGGAUAAUUUUAUGGUGUCCCAAGUUACCGGUUCAAAUACUGAAUCGAGGAAAAGAUUGACUAUGUAUUAUAGUCCGCGAACCAGAAAUUCGGGUAAGGAAUUCUGUUAACUCGGGAGAAGGUGUUAGGCAUUCCCGAGUUCCGUGGUUCUAGCACGGUCACUCAACUGUUAAAAUUGGCUCAAUUAUCUGAUUUUAGAACACUUCUAAACCUAUGUGCAUUUUUAACUUUAAAACCGCUUUAAUUAAUUAUAAGGAAGCUUGCAACGUCAUUUAAAAUACGUCUUGAACCACGUCACAUAAAUGCACCCGCAGUCCGCAACACAUUUUAUCUAACGUUAUUGUGAUUUGGAUUUGAGUCACAUAAAUGCGCACCCGAGUUUAGGAAGGUAAAUUAUUUAAUAGCGCGCCUACAUCAACUAUGCAUUUUCAACUUUGUAAGGGCUAUGGAAAUUCAACUAAAUGGCACGCCUCGAUUUCUAAAUAUUUGAACAUUAAUCGAAUAAGGGCCAUAGGUUCUGGGAUUUUAUUUGGCAUGGCACGCCUCAAUUUAUUUCAAAAGAAUGUAUUCAACUAAAGCAAACCACAUAUGUUUAUAAGUAAUAAGUGACAUGAACUCAUAAAUAAGCAUAUUAGCUACAUGGUACUAAUCUGGAAUGAACUUGCAUUAAUAGCAACAACUGCCCACCACUUUGCAAACUCCAUGGAGUGUGAACUAGCUUAGACCAGACUGUGCAAGCCACUUGAAUAAUAUGAAUGUUUUGGCACUAUAACAUCAUUUAACAUGUAGAAGACCUCACAACUAUGUUUAAGAGAUUAUUUAACCUAUAUUGUGCUUAUAUAAAGUGACAAUGUAAAAGAAAUUUGACUUUAUUAUCGUCUGUAUGCCCAUGUCAAUUGCAAUUUGCCAAGUUAUACCCAAAAAUGGUCACUUGUACAGCUUUGUUCCUUGAUAUACAACAACGCACAUAUUCAAUCAAAUGUUGCUAAUUCAAAUCCUAGUCUCCAGAAUAAAGCACAACAAUCCACUAGAGAACUAAAUUAGUACCUCAGUGCAAAGUAUUGACAGAGAAUCGAUACUUCACUUCACGAAUCAGAACAACAAUGACAACAAAAGUUUCAUUCAAUGCAGAAAUGCAGAUCCAGUUUAUAUCAAAUAUACACGCCUUUUUAUUGCUAUUUCAAUAUGAUAACAAUCUAAUUAGAGGUCUACGGACAUAACGGAAAUAGAUCAACACACAAAAGUGAACUUGAAGAUUCAACAAACAUGAAGAAUUUUAAUUGAAGAUCAAAGGAAUUAAGGUUUUUCACCUGAUGAAGAAGCAUAACAAGUUAUUGACGGAACCUCGAACCGGCAAACUCGACUCAAAUGAAACUCCGUCGGUUGCAAAUUGAAAACUCGCCGAUGACAAAAUCUAGCCGAGUCAACCAAAUGAACGUACGAGCAAGAAAAUCUUAGAGGCAGUCAAAGCUACUGGAUCUCGUCAUUUCCGGCAAUGUAACAGUGAAAAGAGAGAGAGAAAAGAUGAGAAACGAGAAUGGCGUGAUAGCAGUUCGCCGGAUUUAAUGGAGGGUCACCGGAUUUAACCAAACACUCGACCAGAUCUGAAACUCAUCGCACAUGGAGGAGAGGAGAGGACGGAAGCCAUGAAGCUUCGUUGGUCGUCGACAAGUUGACAGCGGCGAUGGUUCCUGGCAGAAGAAGAAGAAGCCUAGCUUUUUCUAGGUUCUUUGGAGGAAGAAGAAGCUUCAGUGGUUUUAUGAGGGUGAAGCUUCAUUUAUGGCUGUUGCGUGGUGAAAGGAGGUCCGGCGAUGAAGUUUUGGUGGUGAGGGUGCGGCUAGUAUGGAGAUGGAGCUAGGUUCUAGGGUUUUCUGGAGUUAAAUCUUCAUGAAGAAGAUGAAGGAGCUCCAUUUUGGCUGAUGAUGUUUCCCAAAAACGGUCCUUCUUUUCUUUGUAAACUUUUUAGCUUUUCUUUUAUUUUCCCAAGACAAAACGUCGCAUUACCUAUAAUAUAGGUCUAGGUUUUAGGUGUAUUGUUUUGUGUAUUUGCCAAUUAUCCCUAGGUCUUUUGUGUAUUAGGUCCUUAGGGUCCUUUUUUGUUUAUUUUUAUUCCAAAGAGGAGUCUA
Molecule: long non-coding RNA, 3684 nt
Filed under: Nicotiana tabacum (common tobacco)
Lineage: Eukaryota; Viridiplantae; Streptophyta; Magnoliopsida; Solanales; Solanaceae
Description: long non-coding RNA (NTAB_LNC000700)
Source: RNAcentral